Molecule: ribosomal RNA, 315 nt
Filed under: uncultured eukaryote
Lineage: Eukaryota
Description: partial 18S ribosomal RNA
Rfam family: Eukaryotic small subunit ribosomal RNA
Source: RNAcentral
CCCUUAGAUGUUCUGGGCUGCACGCGCGCUACACUGACGCACGCAACAGGUGCCUGCUCCGAGAGGAUUGGGUAAUCAUUUGAGUGUGCGUCGUGAUGGGGAUAGAAUAUUGUAAUUAUUACUCUUCAACGAGGAAUUCCUAGUAAGCGCCAGUCAGCAGCUUGCGCUGAUUACGUCCCUGCCCUUUGUACACACCGCCCGUCGCUCCUACCGAUGGGUGAUCCGGUGAAUGAUUCGGACUUCAGCGGCUCCCCUGGGGUGCGCCGGAGAAAGUUUUGUGAACCUUAUCACUUGGAGGAAGGAGAAGUCGUAACA